Molecule: RNA transcript, 2052 nt
Organism: Sceloporus undulatus (fence lizard)
Lineage: Eukaryota; Metazoa; Chordata; Lepidosauria; Squamata; Phrynosomatidae
Gene: NECAP2
Gene name: NECAP endocytosis associated 2
Exons: 7
Source: RefSeq, a predicted model, not a curated record
CCUUUUGGCCGCAGAGCCUUCCCUGCCGCCGCCGCCGCCGGAGCGGUGGGACUCCUGUCCGUCGCCAUGACGACACUUCCGGCCGAGGGAGACGAUCAAAAGGCGCGCUCUCCUUCCUGCUCCGGAGAGCGAGGCCCGCGCGUGCGCAGUUGCGAGCGGAGCCGGAGCCCCGUAUUUCCGGGUUGUGGCGAUGGCGGCGGCGGAGGAAGAGCCGGAGUCGGUGCUGUGCGUGAAACCGGAGGUGCACGUGUACCGGGUGCCCCCGCGGGCCUCCAACCGGGGCUACCGGGCGGCCGAGUGGCACCUGGAGCAGCCGGCGUGGAGCGGGCGGAUGCGCGUGACGGCCAAAGGCAGCCUGGCCUUCGUCAAGCUGGAGGACCGGCGCUCAGGAGAGCUCUUCGCCCAGGCGCCCCUGGAGCAGUUCCCCAGCGCUGCCCUGGAGGGCGUCCAGGACUCCAGCCGCUACUUCGUCCUGCGGGUCGAGGACGGCGACGGGCGCAGGGCCUUCGUGGGAGUGGGCUUCGUGGACCGAGGGGACGCCUUCGACUUCAACGUGGCGCUGCAGGACCAUUUCAAGUGGGUCAAGCAGCAGAGGGAGCUGGACAAGGAGGCCCAGGAUCCGCACCAAGGGCCUAAGCUGGACCUGGGCUUCAAAGAAGGGCAGACCAUCAAGCUCAGCAUUGCGGUCUCUCUCGGGCCAGGCGCCGCCGCAAGACUCGGGCUGGGUCCAGUUCUGAGGCAGGCGCAGCCCCCUCAAGGGCCCUCGUUCCCUGGUUUGGACCGAAGAGGCCGCCCUGCCCUUGCCUGUGGCAGCCCCCUUCCGGACCCCUCCCAGCAGACCCUUUUGGGGGUGCUCUGCCUUUUGUGGUGCUCAGGAAAGCAGGCAGGCAGGCCGAAGGGGCAGCAGCAGCAGCAGCAACAGCGGGGCUCUUCCCGCUUCGUCUUGUGCUUCCCUCCCUUUGUGCCUUUUGGGAAGGGCUGCCCCGGCCAGGUCUCCCUCUCUGCCUGCGAGUCUGGGGCCCAAGUGCCUUUUGGGGGGCCCUGCUCCUCCUCCUCCCGGGAAGAGGAGGCUGCUGGGGGCCCCUCUUUCUCCCGGCGCCGCUCCCUGGCUUUUGUAUUUUGUGUUGUCCUGAUUAAACUUUGCCUUGGAAACCAGCUCCGGAGCCUCCGCGCUUUCAUUCACCCGGGAGGAGGGAGGGAGGGAGGGAGGCGGGAUCCCCGGCUGGAGCGCCGCCUACUCCGGCGAAGAGGAGGAGGACGCGGAGCCCCGCCCGGCCUCCCUCCAGCCACCGAGGGGCGUCCUAGCAACCGGGGAAGAGGCAGCCAGACAGCCGGGGAAGAGGAGGAGAGGGAGGCAGCCGGGGCCCCUCUUUCCUGGCGGCGGGACCGGCUUCGGAGGCUCCCCGGGGGAGAGGGAGGGAGGGAGGGGUCUCCGGUGGGGGAGGGUCCCGGGGUGGCCCCGCCCACUCCCCGUCCCCUUCCGGCGAGCGAUCGGACCUGGAGCGGGAAAAGCCUCCGCCGAGGAGCGGAGCCCCGGAGCCCCCCUCGGAGGCCCUCGCCCAGGUCCCUCGGCCGGCCUCUCCCUCCUCCGAGGGCCAGUCCUCCCUCCCUCGGGGCCCCUGGCUCAGAGGCGCCCUCCUGCUGCUGCUGCCGCCGCCGGGGCCGAUCUCUCUGCCUUCUGCCGAGUGGGUCCCUCUGGAGGCGGUUUGGGGGGGCGCAGGACAGGCCCCUCCGCUGCCCCUCUCAGGCGCCCCCUUGCCUUGCCUCGCCUUGCCUCCCCUGCAGGCGCUGGAGGAAGGGAAGGGCCUCCUCUCCCUCGGGGGACCCCAAGGCCUAGGGCACCCCUCCGCUGCCCAGCUCCCCGCCCGCAUCCGGGAGAUCGUGGCCAGGAACCUGUUGGGGUCCGGCUGCCCAGGGCCCUCUCCGCGGGGCAAGAUGGCCUCCCUGCUGUCGGUCCAGGAGGAGAACCGCAUCCUGCAGCAGGAGCUUUCCCGGGUGGAGGACCUGCUGGCCCAGAGCCGGGCCGAGCGCGACGAACUGGCCAUCAAGUAC